GAGACAGCAGUCGCCGCGGGAACACGAACCGUGCGAACGUUAUUCGGAAUUACUGGGCUUAAAGCGCGUGUAGGCGGGUUCGCACGUCGGGCGCUGAAAUCCCCUGGCUUAACCAGGGAAGUGGCACCGAUACGGCGAGUCUGGAGGGAGGUAGGGGGGUUUGGAACUUCCGGUGUAGCGGUGAAAUGCGUAGAUAUCGGGAGGAACACCUGUGGCGAAAGCGGCUCACUGGACAAUAACUGACGCUGAUGCACGAAAGCUAGGGGAGCAAACAGGAUUAGAUACCCCGGUAGUCCCUGUCUCUUAUA
This 308-nucleotide ribosomal RNA is filed under the name uncultured bacterium. Its description in RNAcentral is "partial 16S ribosomal RNA". It matches the Rfam family "Bacterial small subunit ribosomal RNA", at positions 505 to 808 of the family's 1533-position model. The record is from RNAcentral.